This 300-nucleotide ribosomal RNA is filed under the name uncultured Gilliamella sp. RNAcentral describes it as "bacterial SSU rRNA". It matches the Rfam family "Bacterial small subunit ribosomal RNA", at positions 494 to 794 of the family's 1533-position model. The record is from RNAcentral. Lineage: Bacteria; Pseudomonadati; Pseudomonadota; Gammaproteobacteria; Orbales; Orbaceae.
AGUGUAGAGGUGUGCAGUCAGCAGCUGUAAUUCGGGGUGUGCAAGGGUUAAUCGGAAUUACUGGGCGUAAAGCGCGCGUGGGUGGUUUGUUAAGUUGGAGGUGAAAGCCCCGGGCUCAACCUGGGAACUGCAUCCAAAACUGGCAAGCUAGAGUACGGUAGAGGGGGGUUGAAUUUCCUGUGUAGCGGUGAAAUGCGUAGAUAUAGGAAGGAACACCAGUGGCGAAGGCGACCACCUGGACUGAUACUGACACUGAGGUGCGAAAGCGUGGGGAGCAAACAGGAUUAGAUACCCUGUAGU